RNAcentral lists this ribosomal RNA (230 nucleotides) under uncultured bacterium. RNAcentral's name for it is "partial 16S ribosomal RNA". It matches the Rfam family "Bacterial small subunit ribosomal RNA", at positions 562 to 791 of the family's 1533-position model. The record is from RNAcentral.
AAAGGGUCCGUAGGCGGACUCGUAAGUCAGUGGUGAAAUCUCAUAGCUUAACUAUGAAACUGCCAUUGAUACUGCGGGUCUUGAGUAAGGUAGAGGUAGCUGGAAUAAGUAGUGUAGCGGUGAAAUGCAUAGAUAUUACUUAGAACACCAAUUGCGAAGGCAGGUUACCAUGUCUUAACUGACGCUGAUGGACGAAAGCGUGGGGAGCGAACAGGAUUAGAUACCCUUGU